GGGGAUAGCCUUCCGAAAGGAAGAUUAAUACCGCAUAACAUAAGAGAAUCGCAUGAUUUUCUUAUCAAAGAUUUAUUGCUUUGAGAUGGACCCGCGCACGCAUUAACUAGUUGGUAAGGUAACGGCUUACCAAGGCAACGAUGCAUUAGCCGACCUGAGAGGGUGAUCAGCCACAUUGGAACUGAGACACCGUCCACACUCCUACGGNAGGCAGCAGUGGGGAAUAUUGCGCAAUGGGGGAAACCCUGACGCAGCAACGCCGCGUGGGUGAUGAAGGUCUUCGGAUUGUAAAGCCCUGUUUUCUGGGACGAUAAUGACGGUACCAGAGGAGGAANCCACGGCUAACUACGUGCCAGCANCCGCGGUAAUACGUAGGUGGCNAGCGUUGUCCGGAUUUACUGGGCGUAAAGGGUGCGUACGCAGAUGUUUAAGUGGGAUGUGAAAUCCCCGGGCUUAACCUGGGGGCUGCAUUCCAAACUGGAUAUCUAGAGUGCAGGAGAGGAAAGCGGAAUUCCUAGUGUAGCGGUGAAAUGCGUAGAGAUUAGGAAGAACACCAGUGGCGAAGGCGGCUUUCUGGACUGUAACUGACGCUGAGGCACGAAAGCGUGGGUAGCAAACAGGAUUAGAUACCCUGGUAGUCCACGCCGUAAACGAUGGAUACUAGGUGUAGGGGGUAUCAACUCCCCCUGUGCCGCACUUAACACAAUAAGUAUCCCGCCUGGGGAGUACGGUCGCAAGAUUAAAACUCAAAGGAAUUGACGGGGGCCCGCACAAGCAGCGGAGCAUGUGGUUUAAUUCGAAGCAACGCGAAGAACCUUACCUGGACUUGACAUCCCUUGCAUAGCCUAGAGAUAGGUGAAGCCCUUCGGGGCAAGGAGACAGGUGGUGCAUGGUUGUCGUCAGCUCGUGUCGUGAGAUGUUAGGUUAAGUCCUGCAACGAGCGCAACCCUUGUUAUUAGUUGCUACCAUUAAGUUGAGCACUCUAAUGAGACUGCCUGGGUAACCAGGAGGAAGGUGGGGAUGACGUCAAAUCAUCAUGCCCCUUAUGUCCAGGGCUACACACGUGCUACAAUGGUAGGUACAAUAAGACGCAAGACCGUGAGGUGGAGCAAAACUUAUAAAACCUAUCUCAGUUCGGAUUGUAGGCUGCAACUCCCCUACAUGAAGCUGGAGUUGCUAGUAAUCGCGAAUCAGAAUGUCGCGGUGAAUAACGUUUCCCGGGCCUUGUAACAACU
Molecule: ribosomal RNA, 1235 nt
Filed under: swine fecal bacterium RF2B-Pec2
Lineage: Bacteria
Description: bacterial SSU rRNA
Rfam family: Bacterial small subunit ribosomal RNA
Source: RNAcentral